AACAGACCCACCUUCAGCCUCCUGGUUGUCCCAUUCUUCCAGUCAACUCUAUGCCUCAGUCUCCUUCGCCCUUCUCUGUUACUUCUACCCACCUUUCUCCCAUUACACUUGGCCUGACUGCCCUGACCUCGACCACCACCUAUCCUAUCCUGCUCUGAUCUUCCCUGCCUUUUUCCUUUCACUUUGCCACUUCCUCAGUACCUCAGUUUUUUGCACAGGACUCCCUCCUCUUCCAGUUCCUCUGGGCCCCUCUUCUUCCCCCCACCCCAGACUCCAGAUGCUUACUCUACCUCAGCUGCCAGCCUCCUCCUCCCCAUCCUUGCCCCUACCCCACAGGUUGCCGACGUUGCUCAGGAGCAUCUCUGUCUGGCCCCGUGGUGACGGUGGCUCAGGUCAUCUGUGAGUGUCAAACCUAGCAUAGGCAGAGGCCUGCAACCAGAUAAGUGCAGGGCCCAUUCCCAGAUGCUCCUCCCAGCCUUCCUUCCCUCUGGGCCCUAAGGCGUCUCUCGAAUGCUUACUGGGGGAAGUUGUGGGCUUGCCUUUCCCUAUCCUGCCCACAUACUCCCACUUUCAGAGGAACUAAGGAGUAUGGGAUGAGGACGGGCUGAAAACAAGACUUCCUGAUUGGUUUUCUCUGCACAAGCACAAUUGCUCUACACCAUCAAGGAUCUGGGUGGUGGGGAGGGAAGGAGUACUCUUGAUACCUCUAGCUCUUUUCCCUGUGGCUACUAACUACUGGCCUGCCUUCCUAAUUGUCCAUGACCUUUAAUUGCCCCUGCUCCCCCCAUCCUCCCCCAGGUUCUCAGCUUCCUUGCUUCCAUGGCUCCAGCACCAUUCGCAACCUCAAAGAGAGGUUCCACAUGAGCAUGACUGAGGAGCAGCUGCAGCUGCUGGUGGAGCAGAUGGUGGACGGCAGCAUGAGGUCCAUCACCACCAAACUCUACGAUGGCUUCCAGUACCUCACCAAUGGCAUCAUGUGACACCACUUUCAGGCCCAGAAGUGGUGGGAUUGAAGGCACCCUCCUUAGGAGGACCCUUGCCUAAGAAAACCUAAAUCACAAAAUCCCACCUACCUAACCACCUACCCAAGGGAAAUGGAAGGCAAAAAACACAAAGGAUCAUGUGGUAACCAUGAGAGCUGGCCAAAGGGUAGGAGAGCCAACCAUGGGGUCCAGACUUGCUGGGGCUUCCCCACCUCUUGCUGUGUCAGUAUUGCCACCUGACAGAUCCCAGGACUCACUGCCCUCCAGAGAACAGAGAUGAUGAACAUGAGGAGGACUGGAACCUUCUUCCCCUCGGGGAUCUCAGAGGUUUUCUACAAAACCAUCUUUUACUUUCCCUG
RNAcentral lists this long non-coding RNA (1342 nucleotides) under Rattus norvegicus (Norway rat). RNAcentral describes it as "long non-coding RNA NONRATT015543". Lineage: Eukaryota; Metazoa; Chordata; Mammalia; Rodentia; Muridae. The record is from RNAcentral.